RNAcentral lists this long non-coding RNA (646 nucleotides) under Heterocephalus glaber (naked mole-rat). Its description in RNAcentral is "lncRNA (ENSHGLG00000049982.1)". The record is from RNAcentral. Lineage: Eukaryota; Metazoa; Chordata; Mammalia; Rodentia; Bathyergidae.
CAAAAGUCAGACAGUUCUGGGGCUGAACUUCAAACUGGCAGGCAGCGCUGUCUCUCAGAAGGCAGCAAACCAGCCUUCCUGUGAUACCUGAGCACACUGCUGAAACUUCUGCUUACAAUUGUGUUCUCUGAAGUCAGAAACGUUACGGUUUGGAAAUUCAUCAUUAAGAAUGAUAUAACUGGGCUGCAGAGGCUGGAUCCCUCUGACAAAGAACCAGCCUAACAUUCUCAACUUAGUGCACAGUUACACUCAAAGAAGUUUCUGAGGACGUUUCCUGUCCAUGUCAACUCUCGUAGUUUUCAAGUUAACAAGGCCCGGAGUCCACGUUCACAGAACAGACGCGAUGUAGAACUCUUCAUACACAGCCCUAGUCAAUUUCGGACACAAUAAAACAUCGAUUCACUUAAAUUUUAUCUACUCUUCCUUGAAAUCUUACAAACUUCCUUUGUGUGGAAGGACUGUCAGGACCUGUUCUCAAAUACAAUGAUCUCAUUUGUGGUGAUGAUGACGAGCCUAACACGUAUCAUAGUGAUGACUAUUUUAUGAUAUUUACCCAAAAGGCCAAAUACAGAGGAGUGCAAGAGAUUAGCCACACACUAGAGGCCCAAAGAAUCCAGCCAAGGGUCUGGAUCCCACAGCAAUGUCC